CCUACGGGAGGCAGCAGUGGGGAAUAUUGCACAAUGGGCGAAAGCCUGAUGCAGCAACGCCGCGUGAAGGAAGAAGGGUCUCGGCUCGUAAACUUCUAUCAACAGGGACGAAAGAAGUGACGGUACCUGAAUAAGAAGCCUAGGCUAACUACGUGCCAGCAGCCGCGGUAAUACGUAGGGGGCAAGCGUUAUGCGGAAUCACUGGGUGUAAAGGGUGAGUAGGGGGCAUGGUAAGCCAGAUGUGAAAGGCUUGGGCUUAACCUGGGGAUUGCAUUUGGAACUAUCGAGCUAGAGUACAGGGGAGGAAGGCGGAAUUCGUGGUGUAGCGGUGAAAGGCGUAGAUAUUAGGAAGAACGCCGAUGGCGAAGGCGGCUUUCUGGAGUGAAACUGACGCUGAGGCACGAAGGCGUGGGGAGCGAACAGGAUUAGAUACCCUAGUAGUC
This 443-nucleotide ribosomal RNA is filed under the name uncultured bacterium. RNAcentral's name for it is "partial 16S ribosomal RNA". It matches the Rfam family "Bacterial small subunit ribosomal RNA", at positions 338 to 795 of the family's 1533-position model. The record is from RNAcentral.